RNAcentral lists this ribosomal RNA (253 nucleotides) under uncultured bacterium. RNAcentral's name for it is "partial 16S ribosomal RNA". It matches the Rfam family "Bacterial small subunit ribosomal RNA", at positions 524 to 776 of the family's 1533-position model. The record is from RNAcentral.
UACGUAGGGUGCGAGCGUUAAUCGGAAUUACUGGGCGUAAAGCGUGCGCAGGCGGUUCGUCGUGUCUGAUGUGAAAGCCCCGGGCUCAACCUGGGAAUGGCAUUGGAAACUGGCGGACUAGAGUGUGGCAGAGGGGGGUGGAAUUCCGCGUGUAGCAGUGAAAUGCGUAGAGAUGCGGAGGAACACCGAUGGCGAAGGCAGCCCCCUGGGCUAACACUGACGCUCAUGCACGAAAGCGUGGGGAGCAAACAGG